Molecule: ribosomal RNA, 252 nt
Filed under: uncultured bacterium
Lineage: Bacteria
Description: partial 16S ribosomal RNA
Rfam family: Bacterial small subunit ribosomal RNA
Source: RNAcentral
UACGGAGGAUGCGAGCGUUAUCCGGAUUUAUUGGGUUUAAAGGGUGCGCAGGCGGUCUGUUAAGUCAGCGGUCAAAGCCCGGGGCUCAACCCCGGCCCGCCGUUGAAACUGGCGUUCUUGAGUGGGCGAGAAGUAUGCGGAAUGCGUGGUGUAGCGGUGAAAUGCAUAGAUAUCACGCAGAACUCCGAUUGCGAAGGCAGCAUACCGGCGCCCUACUGACGCUGAGGCACGAAAGCGUGGGUAUCGAACAGG